RNAcentral lists this ribosomal RNA (253 nucleotides) under uncultured bacterium. RNAcentral describes it as "partial 16S ribosomal RNA". It matches the Rfam family "Bacterial small subunit ribosomal RNA", at positions 524 to 776 of the family's 1533-position model. The record is from RNAcentral.
UACGUAGGUGGCAAGCGUUGUCCGGAAUUAUUGGGCGUAAAGGGCUCGUAGGCGGUUUGUCGCGUCUGCUGUGAAAACUCGGGGCUCAACCUCCAGCCUGCAGUGGGUACGGGCAGACUAGAGUGCGGUAGGGGAGAUUGGAAUUCCUGGUGUAGCGGUGGAAUGCGCAGAUAUCAGGAGGAACACCGAUGGCGAAGGCAGAUCUCUGGGCCGUAACUGACGCUGAGGAGCGAAAGCAUGGGGAGCGAACAGG